AAAAAUAGGAAGAAAUUUAAUCAGUAAACUAGAAGGUUUGGUAACUGUUAUCAUAUUUAAAAUCUUUAUGGUACAAGUUAAAAAAUGGGAAGAAGUUUAAUCAGUAAACUAGAAGGUUUGGUAAUUGCAGUAGAAAAUUUUGAGGCAUUGGAGGAGACUAAAGAGGUAUCGUAUUUCAAUUGAGCUUUUAGUAAUCUCUUAUGAGGAUUAUGUUGUGUGAAAUUUUUUAUUAUGAUUGUGUUGUGUAAUUUCUCAUUGAUUACUAAUUAUUAUUUUGAUUUUUGUAUGAGAGUUGAUAGCUUCAGAUGAGACCUACAAACCAAAUUGGGAAAGUAUAAAUGGAUGUUGGGCAGUAGAGAGGGAGAAUGGCGGGAGAAUGGAUGGGCACAUGAGAGAGGGAGAAUAGCAGGAGAAUGGAUGUGCACAAAAGGGAGAAUGGCAGGAGAAUGGAUGUGCACAACAGAGAGAAUGGCGGGAGAAUGGAUGGGCACAAGAGAGAGGGGCACAAGAGGGAGAGAAAGAU
RNAcentral lists this long non-coding RNA (523 nucleotides) under Amborella trichopoda. RNAcentral describes it as "long non-coding RNA (ATRI_LNC005173)". The record is from RNAcentral. Lineage: Eukaryota; Viridiplantae; Streptophyta; Magnoliopsida; Amborellales; Amborellaceae.